This 484-nucleotide ribosomal RNA is filed under the name Corydoras semiaquilus. RNAcentral describes it as "partial 16S ribosomal RNA". It matches the Rfam family "Bacterial large subunit ribosomal RNA", at positions 1850 to 2543 of the family's 2925-position model. Lineage: Eukaryota; Metazoa; Chordata; Actinopteri; Siluriformes; Callichthyidae. The record is from RNAcentral.
AGGUCCUGCCUGCCCAGUGACUAAGUUAAACGGCCGCGGUAUUUUGACCGUGCAAAGGUAGCGCAAUCACUUGUCUUUUAAAUGAAGACCUGUAUGAAUGGUGGAACGAGGGCCUAACUGUCUCCCUUUUCAAGUCAAUGAAAUUGAUCUGCCCGUGCAGAAGCGGACAUAAAGCUACAAGACGAGAAGACCCUUUGGAGCUUAAGAUUAAAAAUCAACUAUGUCAAGCAUUUAUUAAAUAAAACCAAAUAGUAACUGAUCAUAAUCUUCGGUUGGGGCGACCACGGAAUAAAAAUAAACUUCCACACGGACUGAGGAAUAACCUUAAAACCAAGAAAGACAUUUCUAAGACCCAGAAUUUCUGACCCUACAGAUCCGGCAGACUGCCGAUCAAUGGACCAAGUUACCCUAGGGAUAACAGCGCAAUCCCCUUUUAGAGUUCCUAUCGACAAGGGGGUUUACGACCUCGAUGUUGGAUCAGGAC